GACGAACGCUGGCGGCGUGCUUAACACAUGCAAGUCGAACGACGUGGCGAACGGGUGAGUAACGCGGAAUCAACCUGCCCUUCAGAGGGGGACAACAGUUGAAAAUGACUGCUAAUACCGCAUACUGAAGGAGGGGAUUGCGUCUGAUUAGCUAGUGGGAGGGGGAACUGCCCAACAAGGCGAGGAUCAGUAGCCGGUCGGAGAGGGGGAACAGCCAAAUUGGGACUGAGACCCGGCCCAGACUCCUACGGGAGGCAGCAGUGGGGAAUCUUCCGCAAUGGACGAAAGUCUGACGGAGCAACGCCGCGUGAGUGAUGACGGCCUUCGGGUUGUAAAGCUCUGUUAAUCGGGACGCGGUACCGGAAUAGAAAGCCACGGCUAAGUACGUGCCAGCAGCCGCGGUAAUUC
This 408-nucleotide ribosomal RNA is filed under the name uncultured bacterium. RNAcentral's name for it is "partial 16S ribosomal RNA". It matches the Rfam family "Bacterial small subunit ribosomal RNA", at positions 28 to 526 of the family's 1533-position model. The record is from RNAcentral.